Molecule: ribosomal RNA, 689 nt
Filed under: uncultured bacterium
Lineage: Bacteria
Description: bacterial SSU rRNA
Rfam family: Bacterial small subunit ribosomal RNA
Source: RNAcentral
GAGUUUGAUCCUGGCUCAGGACGAACGCUGGCGGCGUGCUUAACACAUGCAAGUCGAACGGGAUGAUCUUAAAGCUUGCUUUUAGAGAAUCUAGUGGCAAACGGGUGAGUAACACGUAGGCAACCUGCCGACAGGAUGGGGACAACAUUCCGAAAGGAAUGCUAAUACCGAAUGAAGCGGAGGAGAGGCAUCUCUCCUGCGUGAAAGAUGGCCUCUAUUUAUAAGCUAUCACCUGUCGAUGGGCCUGCGUCUGAUUAGCUGGUUGGUGAGGUAACGGCUCACCAAGGCGACGAUCAGUAGCCGGUCUGAGAGGAUGAACGGCCACAUUGGGACUGAGACACGGCCCAGACUCCUACGGGAGGCAGCAGUGGGAAAUCUUCCGCAAUGGGCGCAAGCCUGACGGAGCAACGCCGCGUGAGUGAAGAAGGUCUUCGGAUCGUAAAGCUCUGUUGAUGGGGACGAAUGUGCCUAAUGCGAAUAGUAUUAGGUAAUGACGGUACCUAUCGAGGAAGCCACGGCUAACUACGUGCCAGCAGCCGCGGUAAUACGUAGGUGGCGAGCGUUGUCCGGAAUCAUUGGGCGUAAAGGGAGCGCAGGCGGGCAUGUAAGUCUUUCUUAAAAGUGCGGGGCUCAACCCCGUGAUGGGAAAGAAACUACAUGUCUUGAGUACAGGAGAGGAAAGCGGAAUU